CACGUAGGGCGCGAGCGUUGUCCGGAAUUAUUGGGCGUAAAGAGCUCGUAGGCGGCCUGUUGCGUCCGCUGUGAAAGCCCGGGGCUUAACCCCGGGUCGGCAGUGGAUACGGGCAGGCUAGAGGUAGGUAGGGGAGAAUGGAAUUCCCGGUGUAGCGGUGAAAUGCGCAGAUAUCGGGAGGAACACCGGUGGCGAAGGCGGUUCUCUGGGCCUUACCUGACACUGAGGAGCGAAAGCGUGGGGAGCGAACAGG
Molecule: ribosomal RNA, 253 nt
Filed under: uncultured bacterium
Lineage: Bacteria
Description: partial 16S ribosomal RNA
Rfam family: Bacterial small subunit ribosomal RNA
Source: RNAcentral